Long non-coding RNA from Oncorhynchus tshawytscha (Chinook salmon), 354 nucleotides. The record is from Ensembl. Lineage: Eukaryota; Metazoa; Chordata; Actinopteri; Salmoniformes; Salmonidae.
UGACUGAGGAGGCUAUGACUGAGGUAGCUAUGACUGAGGAGGCUAUGACUGAGGAGGCUAUGACUGAGGAGGCUAUGACUGAGGAGGCUAUGACUGAGGAGGCUAUGACUGAGGUAGCUAUGACUGAGGAGGCUAUGACUGAGGAGGCUAUGACUGAGGUGGCUAUGACUGAGGAGGCUAUGACUGAGGUAGCUAUGACUGAGGUAGCUAUGGCUGAGGUAGCUAUGGCUGAGGUAGCUAUGGCUGAGGUAGCUAUGACUGAGGUAGCUAUGACUGAGGUAGCUAUGACUGAGGUAGCUAUGACUGAGGAGGCUAUGGCCUGAAUGGAGUUUUCAGCUGCUGACUGUCACGACU